This 440-nucleotide ribosomal RNA is filed under the name uncultured bacterium. Its description in RNAcentral is "bacterial SSU rRNA". It matches the Rfam family "Bacterial small subunit ribosomal RNA", at positions 337 to 794 of the family's 1533-position model. The record is from RNAcentral.
UCCUACGGGAGGCAGCAGUAGGGAAUUUUCCGCAAUGGGCGAAAGCCUGACGGAGCAACGCCGCGUGAGGGAUGAAGGUUUUCGGAUCGUAAACCUCUGUCUUCAGGGACGAUAAUGACGGUACCUGAGGAGGAAGCCACGGCUAACUACGUGCCAGCAGCCGCGGUAAUACGUAGGUGGCAAGCGUUGUCCGGAAUUACUGGGCGUAAAGGGCGUGUAGGCGGCCUUUUAAGUCAGGCGUGAAAUCCAUGGGCUUAACCCAUGAAUUGCGUUUGAAACUGGAGGGCUUGAGGAUCGGAGAGGGCAGUGGAAUUCCCAGUGUAGCGGUGAAAUGCGUAGAUAUUGGGAGGAACACCAGUGGCGAAGGCGACUGCCUGGACGACACCUGACGCUGAGGCGCGAAAGCUAGGGGAGCAAACGGGAUUAGAUACCCCGGUAGC